Non-coding RNA from Maylandia zebra (zebra mbuna), 607 nucleotides. The record is from RefSeq and is a predicted model, not a curated record. Lineage: Eukaryota; Metazoa; Chordata; Actinopteri; Cichliformes; Cichlidae.
GCGAUACAAGAAGGGUUGGAAAUGGCCACCAAUGCACAAAGAGCACAAUUAAAUUCAGUUGAUGAAUAGCUGCUCAAUCUGAAAGUGAUGUUGCAGAGGAGGACAAGACAGAAACAUUAAACAAUCUACAGACAAUAAACAAAAACAGAAACUAUUUGGUUGAAAACCUAAGCAAAUCAACAUUUAAGGAUCUCCUGGAUGACCUUCUGCAAGAUAAAGUCCUGAGUGAUGCAGAGAGAGAUGAAAUUCUUGAAACAACUCCAGUCACAAAAGAUCGGGCCCGCAACCUUGUUGACGUGGUGAAGAGGAAAGGAGAGCAGGCAGUAAGUUGCUUUCUGGUUCAUCUUGAAAAACGAGAUGAGAAUCUUUACAAGAACCUACCUGAACCGCCGAAAGGGAAGUCUACGCAGAAACCAACAGGUGAAAGAAGAUCAUUCGCGAAGGACAGGCCCAAGCCUGAUAACUUCUGAAUAUUCAAUCCAAAGUGUAACUGCAUGAAUCAAUUACCUCAAUAACUUCUUUAAAUGUGAGCAAGAUGGGCAAUUACCAGUGAUAACUGUGCCAUUUUCUGUAAUCUAAAUAGACAUUAAAGUCAAAUUCAAAUGAU